Molecule: ribosomal RNA, 650 nt
Filed under: uncultured soil bacterium S0239
Lineage: Bacteria
Description: bacterial SSU rRNA
Rfam family: Bacterial small subunit ribosomal RNA
Source: RNAcentral
GGCGAACGGUGAUAAACAUGUGAGUAAUCUGCCUUGGAGAGGGGGAUAACCUGGCGAAAGCUGGGNUAAUACCCCAUGAAGUUUAGUUAUCUACGGGGUGAUAGAUGAAAGGAUGGCUUCUAUUUAUAAGCUAUCGCUUGAAGAGGAGCUCACAUCUAUCGCGCUUGUUGGUGAGGUAAAGGCUCACCAAGGCGACGACGGGUAGCCGGCCUGAGAGGGUGUCCGGCCACACUGGAACUGAGAUACGGUCCAGACUCCUACGGGAGGCAGCAGUGGGGAAUUUUUCGCAAUGGGCGCAAGCCUGACGAAGCAACGCCGCGUGGAGGAUGAAGGCCCUAGCGGUUGUAAACUCCUGUCUAGCGGGACGAAAGCAAACCCAGCGAACAGCUGGGUAUGUUGACUGUACCGCUGGAGGAAGCUCCGGCCAACUCCGUGCCAGCAGCCGCGGUAAUACGGAGGGAGCAAGCGUUACUCGGAAUUAUUGGGCGUAAAGGGCGCGUAGGCGAUUUGACAAGUCGGUUGUGAAAGCCCAGGGCCUAACCCUGGAAGUGCAACCGAGACUGUUGAAUUUGAGUAUAGGAGAGGAAGGCAGAAUUCCCGGUGUAGCGGUGAAAUGCGUAGAUAUCGGGAGGAAUACCAGUGGCGAAGGC